This 69-nucleotide transfer RNA is filed under the name Sphaerodactylus townsendi. Its description in RNAcentral is "tRNA-Ser". The record is from RNAcentral. Lineage: Eukaryota; Metazoa; Chordata; Lepidosauria; Squamata; Sphaerodactylidae.
GCCGUGGCUCAGUGGUAGAGCAUCUGCUUGGAAUGCAAAAGGUUCCAGGUUUUAUCCUCAGCAUCUGCA